AAUUACCCACUCCCGGCACGGGGAGGUAGUGACGAAAAAUAACGAUACGGGACUCAUCCGAGGCCCCGUAAUCGGAAUGAGUACACUCUAAAUCCUUUACCAAGGAUCAAUUGGAGGGCAAGUCUGGUGCCAGCAGCCGCGGUAAUUCCAGCUCCAAUAGCGUAUAUUAAAGUUGUUGCGGUUAAAAAGCUCGUAGUCGAAUGUGUGUCCCGCGCCGCUGGUUCAUCGCUCGCGGUGUUCAACUGGCGUGUCUCGCGGGACGUCCUGCCGGUGGGCUCUUCGAAUUGGUCGCUUGCGGUCGUUCGAGGCCCUACUCGUUUCCGACUUGUCGGUUGCGAAUCCUAUCGCGGUGCUCUUUAUUGAGUGUCGAGGUGGGCCGGCACGUUUACUUUGAACAAAUUAGAGUGCUUAAAGCAGGCCAAUUUUGCCUGAAUAUUGUGUGCAUGGAAUAAUGGAAUAGGACCUCGGUUCUAUUUUGUUGGUUUUCUGAACCCCGAGGUAAUGAUUAAUAGGAACGGAUGGGGGCAUUCGUAUUGCGACGUUAGAGGUGAAAUUCUUGGAUCGUCGCAAGACGGACAGAAGCGAAAGCAUUUGCCAAAAACGUUUUCAUUGAUCAAGAACGAAAGUUAGAGGUUCGAAGGCGAUCAGAUACCGCCCUAGUUCUAACCAUAAACGAUGCCAGCUAGCGAUCCGCCGACGUUCCUCCGAUGACUCGGCGGGCAGCUUCCGGGAAACCAAAGCUUUUGGGUUCCGGGGGAAGUAUGGUUGCAAAGCUGAAACUUAAAGGAAUUGACGGAAGGGCACCACCAGGAGUGGAGCCUGCGGCUUAAUUUGACUCAACACGGGAAACCUCACCAGGCCCAGACACCGGAAGGAUUGACAGAUUGAGAGCUCUUUCUUGAUUCGGUGGUUGGUGGUGCAUGGCCGUU
RNAcentral lists this ribosomal RNA (929 nucleotides) under Halobrecta cf. halensis HE-2010. Its description in RNAcentral is "bacterial SSU rRNA". It matches the Rfam family "Eukaryotic small subunit ribosomal RNA", at positions 439 to 1292 of the family's 1831-position model. Lineage: Eukaryota; Metazoa; Arthropoda; Insecta; Coleoptera; Staphylinidae. The record is from RNAcentral.